This 551-nucleotide ribosomal RNA is filed under the name uncultured bacterium. RNAcentral's name for it is "partial 16S ribosomal RNA". It matches the Rfam family "Bacterial small subunit ribosomal RNA", at positions 355 to 900 of the family's 1533-position model. The record is from RNAcentral.
UGGGGAAUUUUGGACAAUGGGCGAAAGCCUGAUCCAGCAAUGCCGCGUGUGUGAAGAAGGCCUUCGGGUUGUAAAGCACUUUUGUCCGGAAAGAAAUCCUUGGCUCUAAUACAGUCGGGGGAUGACGGUACCGGAAGAAUAAGCACCGGCUAACUACGUGCCAGCAGCCGCGGUAAUACGUAGGGUGCAAGCGUUAAUCGGAAUUACUGGGCGUAAAGCGUGCGCAGGCGGUUUGCUAAGACCGAUGUGAAAUCCCCGGGCUCAACCUGGGAACUGCAUUGGUGACUGGCAGGCUAGAGUAUGGCAGAGGGGGGUAGAAUUCCACGUGUAGCAGUGAAAUGCGUAGAGAUGUGGAGGAAUACCGAUGGCGAAGGCAGCCCCCUGGGCCAAUACUGACGCUCAUGCACGAAAGCGUGGGGAGCAAACAGGAUUAGAUACCCUGGUAGUCCACGCCCUAAACGAUGUCAACUAGUUGUUGGGGAUUCAUUUCCUAGUAACGUAGCUAACGCGUGAAGUUGACCGCCUGGGGAGUACGGUCGCAAGAUUAAAAC